AUGUUCUUGUUGUCCAUUCGGCUGCUCCUGUUUUGUUCGGGGUCGCCACAGCAGACACAGCCAGAUCCGCAAUGCACAGGCAUAAUG
Long non-coding RNA from Thalassophryne amazonica, 87 nucleotides. RefSeq lists it as uncharacterized. The transcript is spliced from 3 exons. The record is from RefSeq and is a predicted model, not a curated record. Lineage: Eukaryota; Metazoa; Chordata; Actinopteri; Batrachoidiformes; Batrachoididae.